Geminocystis sp. NIES-3708 is the source of this 154-nucleotide regulatory RNA element. It matches the Rfam family "c-di-AMP riboswitch aptamer (ydaO/yuaA leader)". Rfam says of the family: This family represents a conserved RNA structure found upstream of the ydaO and yuaA genes in Bacillus subtilis and related genes in other bacteria. The ydaO/yuaA element is thought to act as a genetic "off" switch for the ydaO and yuaA genes in its native state. Lineage: Bacteria; Bacillati; Cyanobacteriota; Cyanophyceae; Chroococcales; Geminocystaceae. The record is from Rfam.
AGAGUGAGUCAGCCUAAUUCCAAAAUAUCAAUUAAUUUGAUGAAACGGAAACGGGGGAACCAAUUUAGGGGCGUAUCAUUACUUUAACAGUAAAGAAGGACAUCUCUCAGUCCUAGCCCGUCAGCUAACUUCGUAGGCAUUGAGAGGAGACUAA